CCAGUCAGCGCUGCAGCAGGCUGGAGUCACGACAUUGCAUUGUCAGCAUUCCUGACAUCGCUGGACAAUCACACCCAGGGGUUGCUAAAGAUGUACAGAGCCAAAAGCAAGACUGGGAAGGUGGAACAACUUGGAUGAACUUCUGGAACAACUGGAUGCCCAGGAAACUAUUUCAUGAAGUUGGUUGAAAUGACGCCCAAUGGUGAAAAGAACCACAGAUCUAACUACUCAUUGAAGGUCUGCUGUUCUUCGUGGUCUUCCCCUGUACUUGAGAGAGCCAGCUUCAAUUUCAAAGACUAUUAAGGAUACUGAGGCACUGGGGCCACACACAAAGGCCAUGAAAAUGAAGUGACUGACAGUUCUACCAACUCAGGACCUUAUCCCACAGUGGUCAAUGUGGCUGUAGUAGUGGAGGAGGAAGUUGUCAUGGACAAUCUGGGAGACUUCACAAAUUCCCUCAUGAUGUUUGUUUCGGCACUGGUUGAAUACUUGUGUAAUAUUUUACUUGAGCCUAACAGGCAAAUUCAUAUGUAUUUAAAUAAAUAAAUAAAAUGUUU
Molecule: long non-coding RNA, 557 nt
Organism: Carassius auratus (goldfish)
Lineage: Eukaryota; Metazoa; Chordata; Actinopteri; Cypriniformes; Cyprinidae
Exons: 5
Source: RefSeq, a predicted model, not a curated record